Molecule: ribosomal RNA, 504 nt
Filed under: uncultured bacterium
Lineage: Bacteria
Description: partial 16S ribosomal RNA
Rfam family: Bacterial small subunit ribosomal RNA
Source: RNAcentral
AUUGAACGCUGGCGGCAGGCCUAACACAUGCAAGUCGGACGGUAGCACAGAGAGCUUGCUCUCGGGUGACGAGUGGCGGACGGGUGAGUAAUGUCUGGGGAUCUGCCCGAUAGAGGGGGAUAACCACUGGAAACGGUGGCUAAUACCGCAUAACGUCGCAAGACCAAAGAGGGGGACCUUCGGGCCUCUCACUAUCGGAUGAACCAAGCUGGGAUUAGCUAGUAGGCGGGGUAAUGGCCCACCUAGGCGACGAUCCCUAGCUGGUCUGAGAGGAUGGCCAGCCAAACUGGAACUGAGACACGGUCCAGACUCCUACGGGAGGCAGCAGUGGGGAAUAUUGCACCAUGGGCGCAAGCCUGAUGCAGCCAGGCCGCGUGUAUGAAGAGGGCCUUCGGGUUGUAAAGUACUUUCAGCGGGGAGGAAGGCGGUGCGGUUAAUAACCGCGCCGAUUGACGUUACCCGCAGAAGAAGCACCGGCUAACUCCGUGCCAGCCGCCGCAGUAA